Molecule: ribosomal RNA, 371 nt
Filed under: Klebsiella pneumoniae
Lineage: Bacteria; Pseudomonadati; Pseudomonadota; Gammaproteobacteria; Enterobacterales; Enterobacteriaceae
Description: bacterial LSU rRNA
Rfam family: Bacterial large subunit ribosomal RNA
Source: RNAcentral
CUUCGGGUGUGACUGCGUACCUUUUGUAUAAUGGGUCAGCGACUUUAUAUUCUGUAGCAAGGUUAACCGUAUAGGGGAGCCGCAGGGAAACCGAGUCUUUAACUGGGCGUUAAGUUGCAGGGUAUAGACCCGAAACCCGGUGAUCUAGCCAUGGGCAGGUUGAAGGUUGGGUAACACUAACUGGAGGACCGAACCGACUAAUGUUGAAAAAUUAGCGGAUGACUUGUGGCUGGGGGUGAAAGGCCAAUCAAACCGGGAGAUAGCUGGUUCUCCCCGAAAGCUAUUUAGGUAGCGCCUCGUGAAUUCAUCUUCGGGGGUAGAGCACUGUUUCGGCUAGGGGGUCAUCCCGACUUACCAACCCGAUGCAAACU